Molecule: long non-coding RNA, 1558 nt
Organism: Oncorhynchus tshawytscha (Chinook salmon)
Lineage: Eukaryota; Metazoa; Chordata; Actinopteri; Salmoniformes; Salmonidae
Source: Ensembl
CAUUUCUUCCGUUUUACUUCCUUCACCUACUCUCUCUUUCACUCUUUCUCUCCCUCCCCAUGUGCUUCAUCCUCUCUUAUCUACAUAGAGUUGGCUGUGGUGAUCACUAUAGAUGAGAUUAGGUUUAUUAGUCACAUGCACAAGGUUGCAGAUGUAAUAGCAGGGUACAGUGACAUUCUUCAGCUCUGAGCUCCAACAGUGCUGGUCAAAGAGAAGUGGAUGAAACAAUAAUAAUAAUAAUAUAUACAUAUUUACAACUGUAACAAUUAUAAAUGUCCAUUGGGGGGUGGGGGCAGGGUAAACGUCCGUUGGGGGGGACACAGGGGUAGCAGGUAGCUGACUAGUGGUGGCUAUUCAUCAGCCUGAUGGUUUGGUGGUAGAAGUCUGACAGUUUUUGCCAUGAUGUACCUAUACUGCCCACGUCUGAGUGAUGGAAGCAGGGAGAACAGGCCGUGGCUCGGGUGGCUAAGGUCUUCUUAUCACAUACGACACCUGGUGUUGUAGGUGUCCUGGAGGGCAGGCAGCAUACACCCAAUGGUGCGUUCGGCUGAGCGUACCACCUUCUGUAGAGCCUAGCAGGCUGUGAUCUAGACAACAGUAUGCUCUCGAUGGUGCUCCUGUAGAACACUGUGAGGGCCCUUGGGAACAGGCAAGAUUUCUUCAGCCUCCUGUCAGUGUGGUUUGAAGAGUCGCUGACGUGAUUUCACCACGGUGUCAGUGUGGGUUGAAGAGUCACUGUUGUACUUUCAUCACCAGGGUGUCAGUGUGGGUUGAAGAGUCACUGUUGUACUUUCAUCACCAGGGUGUCAGUGUGGGUUGAAGAGUCUCUGUUGUGCCUUCAUCACCAGGGUGUCAGUGUGGGUUGAAGAGUCUCUGUUGUGCCUUCUUUACCAAGGUGUCUGUGUGGGUUGAAGAGUCACUGUCGUACUUUCAUCACCAGGGUGUCAGUGUGGGUUGAAGAGUCUCUGUUGUGCCUUCAUCACCAGGGUGUCCGUGUGGGUUGAAGAGUCUCUGUCGUGCCUUCUUCAUCACCAGGGUGUCCGUGUGGGUUGAAGAGUCUCUGUUGUGCCUUCUUCACCAGGGUGUCAGUGUGGGUUGAAGAGUCUCUGUCGUGCCUUCUUUACCAAGGUGUCCGUGUGGGUUGAAGAGUCUCUGUCGUGCCUUCUUCAUCACCAGGGUGUCCGUGUGGGUUGAAGAGUCUCUGUCGUGCCUUCUUCACCAAGGUGUCAGUGUGGUUAGACCAUUUCAGUUCCUCUGAGAUGUGUACGCCGAGGAACUUAAAUCUUUUUGACCCCCUUCACGGUGGCCCUGUUACUAUAAAUCCACUAUGAUCAUGAACAGAUAGAUGCAGGAUGUGUGACUGGUUACAGUGAAUGAAACAAAUGUACAUUACAGUAGGCUAAAGUGAUACACAUUACAGUAGGCUAAAGUUAAGCACAUUAUAGUAGGCUAAAGUGAUACACAUUAGAGUAGGCUAAAGUUAAGCACAUUAUAGUAGGCUAAAGUGAUACACAUUAUAGUAGGCUAAAGUUAAGCACAUUAUAGUAGGCUAAAGUGA